This 468-nucleotide ribosomal RNA is filed under the name uncultured bacterium. RNAcentral's name for it is "partial 16S ribosomal RNA". It matches the Rfam family "Bacterial small subunit ribosomal RNA", at positions 28 to 507 of the family's 1533-position model. The record is from RNAcentral.
GACGAACGCUGGCGGCGUGCUUAACACAUGCAAGUCGAACGGAAAGGCCCUGCUUUUGUGGGGUGCUCGAGUGGCGAACGGGUGAGUAACGCGUGAGCAACCUGCCCUUGACUUUGGGAUAACUUCAGGAAACUGGGGCUAAUACCGGAUAGGAGCUCCUGCUGCAUGGUGGGGGUUGGAAAGUUUCGGCGGUUGGGGAUGGACUCGCGGCUUAUCAGCUUGUUGGUGGGGUAGUGGCUUACCAAGGCUUUGACGGGUAGCCGGCCUGAGAGGGUGACCGGCCACAUUGGGACUGAGAUACGGCCCAGACUCCUACGGGAGGCAGCAGUGGGGAAUAUUGCACAAUGGGCGGAAGCCUGAUGCAGCAACGCCGCGUGCGGGAUGACGGCCUUCGGGUUGUAAACCGCUUUCGCCUGUGACGAAGCGUGAGUGACGGUAAUGGGUAAAGAAGCACCGGCUAACUACGUG